UACGUAGGGAGCAAGCGUUGUCCGGAAUCAUUGGGCGUAAAGCGCGCGUAGGCGGCCUCAUAAGUCCGUUGUGAAAGUCAAAGGCUCAACCUUUGAAAGCCGAUGGAUACUGUGAGGCUAGAGUCCGGAAGAGGCGAGUGGAAUUCCUGGUGUAGCGGUAGAAUGCGCAGAUAUCAGGAGGAACACCAAUAGCGAAGGCAGCUCGCUGGGACGGUACUGACGCUAAGGCGCGAAAGCGUGGGGAGCGAACAGG
This 253-nucleotide ribosomal RNA is filed under the name uncultured bacterium. RNAcentral's name for it is "partial 16S ribosomal RNA". It matches the Rfam family "Bacterial small subunit ribosomal RNA", at positions 524 to 776 of the family's 1533-position model. The record is from RNAcentral.